GCAAAGAGGGCGAGUUAGAGGAGGGUUUGAAUCUCAUGGUAUUUGUGAUUUUCUUUUUCUUUUCUUUCUUUUUUCCUUCUACAUAUUUGUGCUACUAGGAGCAGGGAUGGAGGGAGGAG
RNAcentral lists this non-coding RNA (119 nucleotides) under Heterosigma akashiwo. Lineage: Eukaryota; Raphidophyceae; Chattonellales; Chattonellaceae. The record is from RNAcentral.